This is a non-coding RNA of Pelobates cultripes (western spadefoot toad), 359 nucleotides long. The record is from the annotation of a GenBank genome assembly. Lineage: Eukaryota; Metazoa; Chordata; Amphibia; Anura; Pelobatidae.
CCUGUACAUGGAAAGCUGCUCUGGUUCCUUGAUGAGCCAGCUGCCCGUGAGUUAACAUGUCCCGUGGAGAAGCACUCUGUCCUGUAAAGCCUCACCAAAAAAAAGGAGUGGUGUGUUUAGUAUUGUUCUGAUCAGUUUAAUACCUUUCGCGUCUCCUAUCAGUGGAUGUGUAUAUGGCAGCCAUUUUAGGAACCGCACACCUGGGACCCGAGCAAGGUCACCUCGUUCAACAGGCGACAACAUUUGUCCCUGGAAAACUAUCCUGGACAUUCUGUACAAUUUGUAUGGAUAUGGCAGUGAUUUCUGUAACAGGGAGAUGGAAGAAGAUGCUUGGUCGGUCCUCUUACUGCAAAUUUGGG